UAUAAUGUGAGAGAAUUUGGGCUGCAGAGGAAGAAAUAGGAAGAUGAGUUUUGGAUUUGAUAGUUUUCCUUUUAAUGAAAGUGUUGGAUAAUAAAUGGUAUAUUAUACUAAAGGUAUGUUGCUCUCUCCAUCUCCCCAAGUGGAUUCUGCACCUCCCCACUAUGUUAAUUUAUUUCAAAAAUAUUCUACACCUCCCCACUAUUUUCUUUUAUUCCAAAAAUACCCUACACCUCUCCACUAUCCUUAACAAUCUUUCUCUUUCUCUCUCUACGUUAAUGGGACAUUUACAUUGCUCAUU
This 298-nucleotide long non-coding RNA is filed under the name Vigna radiata. Its description in RNAcentral is "long non-coding RNA (VRAD_LNC011222)". The record is from RNAcentral. Lineage: Eukaryota; Viridiplantae; Streptophyta; Magnoliopsida; Fabales; Fabaceae.